RNAcentral lists this ribosomal RNA (465 nucleotides) under Vreelandella stevensii. RNAcentral describes it as "partial 16S ribosomal RNA". It matches the Rfam family "Bacterial small subunit ribosomal RNA", at positions 338 to 795 of the family's 1533-position model. Lineage: Bacteria; Pseudomonadati; Pseudomonadota; Gammaproteobacteria; Oceanospirillales; Halomonadaceae. The record is from RNAcentral.
CCUACGGAGCGCAGCAGUGGGGAAUAUUGGACAAUGGGCGAAAGCCUGAUCCAGCCAUGCCGCGUGUGUGAAGAAGGCCUUCGGGUUGUAAAGCACUUUCAGUGGGGAAGAAAGCCUUGGGGCUAAUACCCUCGAGGAAGGACAUCACCCACAGAAGAAGCACCGGCUAACUCCGUGCCAGCAGCCGCGGUAAUACGGAGGGUGCGAGCGUUAAUCGGAAUUACUGGGCGUAAAGCGCGCGUAGGCGGUCUGAUAAGCCGGUUGUGAAAGCCCCGGGCUCAACCUGGGAACGGCAUCCGGAACUGUCAGGCUAGAGUGCAGGAGAGGAAGGUAGAAUUCCCGGUGUAGCGGUGAAAUGCGUAGAGAUCGGGAGGAAUACCAGUGGCGAAGGCGGCCUUCUGGACUGACACUGACGCUGAGGUGCGAAAGCGUGGGUAGCAAACAGGAUUAGAUACCCGUGUAGUC